UUCUAAACCGAAACUAAAUACAGUUCGUCGUUUGUGUCUCCGAGUCGGUUUUUGUAAUUUCUGUUGUGAAAUUUGACUCCGUGUUGAAUGACGCCUCGAAACAGGCACUUGCUGUAAUUCAUGAUAUUUCACUAUGAACACAGAUUUAUGUUGCAUAACAGAAUAACAAAUGACAUUGGCAUCAAAGAAUUGUAUCAUUUAAAGACUGAAGGAGAAUGUCAUACAGGACAGAUAUGAAUCUUUUUAUAUAAAUCUCUGACAAAUUA
Octopus sinensis (East Asian common octopus) is the source of this 266-nucleotide long non-coding RNA. RefSeq lists it as uncharacterized. The transcript is spliced from 2 exons. NCBI's taxonomy places the organism in Eukaryota, Metazoa, Mollusca, Cephalopoda, Octopoda, Octopodidae. The record is from RefSeq and is a predicted model, not a curated record.